AGACCCGAAACCCGGUGAUCUAGCCAUGGGCAGGUUGAAGGUUGGGUAACACUAACUGGAGGACCGAACCGACUAAUGUUGAAAAAUUAGCGGAUGACCUGUGGCUGGGGGUGAAAGGCCAAUCAAACCGGGAGAUAGCUGGUUCUCCCCGAAAGCUAUUUAGGUAGCGCCUCGUGAAUUCAUCUCCGGGGGUAGAGCACUGUUUCGGCUAGGGGGCCAUCCCGGCUUACCAACCCGAUGCAAACUGCGAAUACCGGAGAAUGUUAUCACGGGAGACACACGGCGGGUGCUAACGUCCGUCGUGAAGAGGGAAACAACCCAGACCGCCAGCUAAGGUCCCAAAGUCAUGGUUAAGUGGGAAACGAUGUGGGAAGGCCCAGACAGCCAGGAUGUUGGCUUAGAAGCAGCCAUCAUUUAAAGAAAGCGUAAUAGCUCACUGGUCGAGUCGGCCUGCGCGGAAGAUGUAACGGGGCUAAACCAUGCACCGAAGCUGCGGCAGCGACGCUUAUGCGUUGUUGGGUAGGGGAGCGUUCUGUAAGCCUGUGAAGGUGGCCUGUGAGGGUUGCUGGAGGUAUCAGAAGUGCGAAUGCUGACAUAAGUAACGAUAAAGCGGGUGAAAAGCCCGCUCGCCGGAAGACCAAGGGUUCCUGU
Molecule: ribosomal RNA, 651 nt
Filed under: Salmonella enterica
Lineage: Bacteria; Pseudomonadati; Pseudomonadota; Gammaproteobacteria; Enterobacterales; Enterobacteriaceae
Description: partial 23S ribosomal RNA
Rfam family: Bacterial large subunit ribosomal RNA
Source: RNAcentral